This 1373-nucleotide ribosomal RNA is filed under the name Brevibacterium antiquum. RNAcentral's name for it is "bacterial LSU rRNA". It matches the Rfam family "Bacterial large subunit ribosomal RNA", at positions 1577 to 2925 of the family's 2925-position model. Lineage: Bacteria; Bacillati; Actinomycetota; Actinomycetes; Micrococcales; Brevibacteriaceae. The record is from RNAcentral.
UUUGGUGGGGUGAUCUGGUGAUCCUAUGCUGCCGAGAAAAGCAUCGGCGUGAGGUUGUGUGUUGCCCGUACCCUAUAACCGACACAGGUGGUCAGGUAGAGAAUACUAAGGUGAUCGAGAGAAUCGUGGUUAAGGAACUCGGCAAAAUGCCCCCGUAACUUCGGGAGAAGGGGGACCAUCCCGGUGAAACCAACUUGCUUGGUGAUGUGCUGGUGGUGGUCGCAGAGGCCAGAGAGAAGCGACUGUUUAUUAAAAACACAGGUCCGUGCGAAGAUGUAAGUCGAUGUAUACGGACUGACGCCUGCCCGGUGCUGGAAGGUUAAGAGGACUCGUUAACCCCGUUAGGGGUGAAGCGGAGAAUUUAAGCCCCAGUAAACGGCGGUGGUAACUAUAACCAUCCUAAGGUAGCGAAAUUCCUUGUCGGGUAAGUUCCGACCUGCACGAAUGGCGUAACGACUUCUCUGCUGUCUCAACCACGAACUCGGCGAAAUUGCAUUACGAGUAAAGAUGCUCGUUACGCGCAGCAGGACGGAAAGACCCCGAGACCUUCACUAUAGUUUGGUAUUGGGAUUCGGUGUGGUUUGUGUAGGAUAGGUGGGAGACUGUGAAGUCAUCACGCUAGUGGGGGUGGAGUCGUCAAGUGAAAUACCACUCUGACUAUACUGGAUUUCUUAACUUCGGACCCUGAUCGGGUUCAGGGACAGUGCCUGAUGGGUAGUUUAACUGGGGCGGUUGCCUCCUAAAGAGUAACGGAGGCGCCCAAAGGUUCCCUCAGCCUGGUUGGCAAUCAGGUGUCGAGUGUAAGUGCACAAGGGAGCUUGACUGUGAGACGGACGUGUCGAGCAGGAGCGAAAGCUGGGACUAGUGACCCGGCCAUGGCUUGUGGAAGCGUGGUCGCUCAACGGAUAAAAGGUACCUCGGGGAUAACAGGCUGAUCUUGCCCAAGAGUCCAUAUCGACGGCAUGGUUUGGCACCUCGAUGUCGGCUCGUCGCAUCCUGGGGCUGUAGUCGGUCCCAAGGGUUGGGCUGUUCGCCCAUUAAAGCGGUACGCGAGCUGGGUUUAGAACGUCGUGAGACAGUUCGGUCCCUAUCCGCUGCGUGCGUAGGAAAUUUGUGGAGGCCUGUCCUUAGUACGAGAGGACCGGGACGGACGAACCUCUGGUGUGCCAGUUGUACCGCCAGGUGCAUGGCUGGUUGGCUACGUUCGGGAAGGAUAACCGCUGAAAGCAUCUAAGCGGGAAGCCUGCUUCGAGAUGAGAUUUCCAACCCCACUUGUUGGGGGUGAGGUGUCCUAUAGAUUAUGGGUUUGAUAGGCCGGGUAUGGAAGCAUCGUGAGGUGUGGAGUUGACUGGUACUAAUACGCCGAUCACUCA